UUGAUGUGGGUAAAGAGGGAGAUUUUGAGUCUGAUUUUGGUUAGGAAAAAAAAACGGGGUAGUCAAACUAAGAUUUUAAAGGAUUUUAAAAGUGAUAGAUUUGAUAGGAUUAAAGAGGAUUAAAGACUCCUACAAAAUUCAUAUGGAUUUUUAAAGAAUUUGAAUGGAUUGUGAUGGAAAGAUUUGAAAUCCUAGGUGGUGAGGUUGAAUUCUUUUUAGUCUUGGUUAUAUAUACUUUUGGCUCUCAAAUUCCACAAAAUCCACAACUUAUUAAAAUCCUCCAAAAUCUUAAUUUUUUUUAAUACGCUUAGAUUUGGAUAGAUUUUAAAAUCCUUUAAAAUCUUUUAAUUGACUACACCUAGAUUUUAAAGGAUUCUAAAAUCCUUUAAUUGACUACACCUAGAUUUGAAUGGAUUCUAAAAUCCUUUGAAAUAUUUUAAUUGACUACACUAGGAUUUUAAAUUCUUUUAAAAUCCUCUCAAAUCCGAGUUUGACUACACCCAAUUUUAUUGUUCAUUCGAGGAAUUUGAAAAAUCCUAAAAGCAAAAACCUUGAUUUGAGUGGGGGAAUUAGGGUAGAAUGGGAAUGGCACUCUGUAAUUAAAUGUGGAUUAUGAAUAUACAGAGACUCACACACACAAGAGAAGAUAGAAGAAGAUGAGCAUGGAGUGAGGUCGAUGGAUCUGGGAAGAGGUGUGGGCUAGCGGC
Molecule: long non-coding RNA, 707 nt
Filed under: Malus domestica (apple)
Lineage: Eukaryota; Viridiplantae; Streptophyta; Magnoliopsida; Rosales; Rosaceae
Description: long non-coding RNA (MDOM_LNC006721)
Source: RNAcentral